Molecule: unclassified non-coding RNA, 210 nt
Filed under: Hevea brasiliensis (rubber tree)
Lineage: Eukaryota; Viridiplantae; Streptophyta; Magnoliopsida; Malpighiales; Euphorbiaceae
Source: RNAcentral
AUGUAUUUUUUAUGAUUUAUAACAAUUAAAGGUAGUAACAAUUAAAGGUAGUAAGAACAUUUAUACAGAAACCUACAAUUAAACCAAGCCAGUACAUGGACAAGGGGAAAGAAAAAGAAUAAUCAAAAACCUUAAAAGGAAGAGCAACAAGCUUAGAACAUGGAAAGUGAACAAUGAAUGAAGGAAACCUUCAAAGAAAAUAAUGUAAAA